Solanum lycopersicum (tomato) is the source of this 519-nucleotide long non-coding RNA. RefSeq lists it as uncharacterized. Lineage: Eukaryota; Viridiplantae; Streptophyta; Magnoliopsida; Solanales; Solanaceae. The record is from RefSeq and is a predicted model, not a curated record.
CCUUUUCCCAAUUUUCUCCAAACCCGAGAAACAUAACAUCAAAAUUCUCUCUUUUUAUCCCAAAAAUAUAUUAGGUUUUGUUAAAUGGAAUGGAGUUUCUGCCAAAAUUCUUUCAAUUUGUCGAUUUGGAGCCGAUGCAAUCUCAAUCGGCGAUGAAGGCCCUAGUAAGCAAGCAUCUUAAUUACAUCUAUGGAGAUUAAGGGUUGGAGAUUACCCUAAAACCUAGUUCAGUGCGUUGGAUAUGGAUAACAAAAUUUGGAGUCUUAAGAAUCUAUCCACAAAUAAAGUGCAGAUCAGCAAGUCUAACAACUAAAAGUAUUGAAGAACAAGUGGAAGACUAGCGAUACAAUUGUAUAUUUUUAUCAAGAGUUGCUAAAUAUGUUUCCAUUGCUACCUAUUUUUGUAUUUUAUGUUUUUAAUAAAUGUUAUAAAGUUGACAGAUAUACUUUUGAUGAUAUAAUAAUUUAGUUCUUUGGAAUUUUCUAUGAAUCUUUAUAUGAAAUAAUAUUUCUCGUAAAA